Molecule: long non-coding RNA, 758 nt
Filed under: Mytilus galloprovincialis (Mediterranean mussel)
Lineage: Eukaryota; Metazoa; Mollusca; Bivalvia; Mytilida; Mytilidae
Source: RNAcentral
UCAGUCCGUCCGUCAGUCAGUCCGUCCCAUGAAACUUUCGUCACAUUUUUCUCAGGAACUACACAUCCACCCUUUCUGUAAUUUGAUAUCAACAUUUAUAUAUGUCAGCCAUACCAUGUGAUGCGUUUUCAGAUUCAUCACUUGACAACUUCCUGUUUACCGAACACUUGUCUGAUUUUACACAUGAUAGCCAAGUUGAAAAUUUUCGUCACAUUUUUCUCAAGAACUACAAUACAAGGAUUUCUGAAAUUUGGUUUCAGGAUUUAUAUAAGUCAGCUAUACCGUGUGAUGCGUUUUCAGAUUCAUCACUCGACAACUUCCUGUUUACCGAACACUUGUAUGAUUUUACACAUGAUAACCAAGUUGAAAAUUUUCGUCACAUUUUUCUCAGGAACUACAAUACAAGGAUUUCUGAAUUUUGGUUUCAGGAUUUAUAUAAGUCAGCUAUACCGUGUGAUGCGUUUUCAGAUUCAUCACUCGACAACUUCUUGUUUACCGAACAGUUGUAUGAUUUUACACAUGAUAACCAAGUUAAAAAUUUUCGUCACAUUUUUCUCAGGAACUACAAUACAAGGAUUUCUGAAAUUUGGUUUCAGGAUUUUUAUAAGUCAGCUAUUCCGUGUGAUGCGUUUUCAGAUUCAUCACUCAACAACUUCCUGUUUACCGAACACUUGCAUAUUUUUACACUAUUAAUAUUAUCCACUUGCGGCGGGGGUAUCAUCAGUGAGCAGUAGCUCGCAGUUUCACUUGUUUUACUU